RNAcentral lists this ribosomal RNA (214 nucleotides) under uncultured bacterium. Its description in RNAcentral is "partial 16S ribosomal RNA". It matches the Rfam family "Bacterial small subunit ribosomal RNA", at positions 524 to 737 of the family's 1533-position model. The record is from RNAcentral.
UACGUAGGGUGCAAGCGUUAAUCGGAAUUACUGGGCGUAAAGCGUGCGCAGGCGGUGAUGUAAGACAGAUGUGAAAUCCCAGGGCUCAACCUUGGAACUGCAUUUGUGACUGCAUCGCUGGAGUGCGGCAGAGGGGGGAUGGAAUUCCGCGUGUAGCAGUGAAAUGCGAGAUAUGCGGAGGAACACCGAUGGCGAAGGCAAUCCCCUGGGCCUG